Long non-coding RNA from Hordeum vulgare subsp. vulgare (domesticated barley), 279 nucleotides. RefSeq lists it as uncharacterized. The transcript has 2 exons. Lineage: Eukaryota; Viridiplantae; Streptophyta; Magnoliopsida; Poales; Poaceae. The record is from RefSeq and is a predicted model, not a curated record.
GUCAGAUUCUGAUAAUUCAGGCAUGAAGCUGAAAGGGCAACAAUUUGCAAUUGCUCAAAUUGAGGAGUUGUGUUUGAAUCCUGAUCAAUCGAUACCAAACGACCAAAUUCAUGAAAUUGUCGUCUUCCUUCACCAGACCGAUGGCCUGACAAAGCAUAUGGAUACUUUUAGUAACAUUGCUUCUCUUCUAGAAGUUGGACAGAGUCCUUUUUUUGCUCCCAUCCUCAAGGAGCAGUAUGAUGCUCAGUCAAUAAAUCCUUCAAGGUGUUUAAUCUUCCA